GUCGAACGCUGGCGGCGUGCUUAACACAUGCAAGUCGAACGGGCCUUGUCCCCUUUUUUUUUGGGGGUGGGGUUAGUGGCGAACGGGUGAGUAACACGUGAGUAACCUGCCCCUCACUUCUGGAUAACCGCUUGAAAGGGUGGCUAAUACGGGGUGUUCUGGCCUGCUCGCAUGGGUGGGUUUGGAAAGAUUCGACCGGUUUUGGUUGUUUUGGUGGGGGAUGGGCUCGCGGCCUAUCAGCUUGUUGGUGGGGUGAUGGCCUGCCAAGGCUUUGACGGGUAGCCGGCCUGAGAGGGUGCGCGGUCACACUGGGACUGAGACACGGCCCAGACUUCUACGGGAGGCAGCAGUGGGGAAUAUUGCACAAUGGGCGCAAGCCUGAUGCAGCGACGCCGCGUGAGGGAUGGAGGCCUUCGGGUUGUGAACCUCUUUCGCCAGUGAAGAAGGUCCUGCUCUUUGUGGUGGGGUUGACGGUAGCUGGGUUAAUGAAGCGCCGGCUAACUACGUG
Molecule: ribosomal RNA, 508 nt
Filed under: uncultured bacterium
Lineage: Bacteria
Description: partial 16S ribosomal RNA
Rfam family: Bacterial small subunit ribosomal RNA
Source: RNAcentral